CCAGCCGGCCAUAGGGAGCGGGAAAUACCCGGACCCUUUCCGAACCCGGAAGUUAAACCGCUCACCGUGGCUACUUUUAGUACGGUCCGAAAGGCCGUGCGAAGGUAGCCAUGCCGGCUGGC
RNAcentral lists this ribosomal RNA (122 nucleotides) under Thermoproteota archaeon. Lineage: Archaea; Thermoproteati; Thermoproteota. The record is from RNAcentral.